Long non-coding RNA from Photinus pyralis (common eastern firefly), 885 nucleotides. RefSeq lists it as uncharacterized. NCBI's taxonomy places the organism in Eukaryota, Metazoa, Arthropoda, Insecta, Coleoptera, Lampyridae. The record is from RefSeq and is a predicted model, not a curated record. The transcript has 2 exons.
CUACACUAGUAAAAGUCCCAACAUUGUCGUUUCUACUUUUUUUUCUUGUUUAUGGAAUCUAGUUACUACGUUUAUCAGAUCAGAAUUCAUUCUGAAAAGUUGUUUGAGUUUUCUUGCUUUAACGAAUUUGAUAAAGUUUGUAAAACAGAUAUUUGGUGUCAUGCUUGGGUAUAUAAUUAGUGAACGCGUAGUAUACAUUUAUUCGCGGACAGUAUUAGGUACAUACAUCCAACAUGCAGAUGGGAUUUUUAAAUACAGAGAAGGAUGGACGGGUUAGCUUCCCCUUUAUAUGAAAACAAAAAAGUGUCAUUAUAUUCUCCUUCGAAACUUCAUACGUCACAAGCAACCGUGGUCGAGCUGGAUGUCGGCAUUGGAUUGGUAAGGAAGAUUUGAGUAAAACCCAAGGAAAUAAGAAAUUCACUCCCUUUUGGUAAAAUGUAUGUAUCAGCUACAGCUCAGGAACUCUUCCAACUUCAACCACUGAUCUCGAAAUUAGCAAUAAUUACGACUAGGGCUGCGCAGAUCCUAGUCUACUAUAUAUCAGAAAAAAACCGAAUAGCAUCUUUUUCUCCGCAAGCUAUUAAUGGAAGAUAUAAAAUGACAAAGGAAAAUGUGUUGUGCAUCUUGUGAGAGUGUUGUCAAGAACUAAUACAAAAUUGAAUUUUUUUUAAAGUAGGUACGCUAUUCACCCUGGAAAGGGCACUUUUGUCCAUCUAACCGGAAUUGUAACCAUAAAGGAUCCCAACCAUAAUGCUGUGCGUGUCAAAAAAUGAAGAAGUAAAGGCACUUUUAAUAAAGUUGAGCCCUAUAAUUGAAAGGAGUAUUUGAUAUUGUAUUACAAUCAGAGAUAAAUAAGGCAAUAAAAUUGUACUUUUUUUAUUACUA